This 378-nucleotide unclassified non-coding RNA is filed under the name plant metagenome. RNAcentral's name for it is "partial contains 5.8S ribosomal RNA, internal transcribed spacer 2, and large subunit ribosomal RNA". The stretch from base 1 to 105 matches the Rfam family "5.8S ribosomal RNA", at positions 50 to 154 of the family's 154-position model. The record is from RNAcentral.
GAAAUGCGAUAAGUAAUGUUAAUUGCAGAAUUCAGUGAAUCAUCGAAUCUUUGAACGCACCUUCCGCUCCUUGGUAUUCCUUGGAGCAUGCCUGUUUGAGUAUCAUGAAAUCUUCAAAGUAAAUCUUUUGUUAACUCAAUUGGUUUCUACUUUGGUAUUGGAGGUCUUUGCAGCUUCACACCUGCUCCUCUUUGUUCAUUAGCUGGAUCUCAGUGUUAUGCUUGGUUCCACUCGGCGUGAUAAGUUAUCUAUCGCUGAGGACACUGUAAAAGGUGGCCAAGGUAAAUGCAGAUGAACCGCUUCUAAUAGUCCAUUGACUUGGACAAUACUUUUAUGAUCUGAUCUCAAAUCAGGUAGGACUACCCGCUGAACUUAAGC